Molecule: ribosomal RNA, 833 nt
Filed under: uncultured bacterium
Lineage: Bacteria
Description: bacterial SSU rRNA
Rfam family: Bacterial small subunit ribosomal RNA
Source: RNAcentral
AGCGAACGGGUGAGUAACACGUGAGAAUUUUCCCUAUAGUGAAGGAUACCUUCGAGAAAUCGAAGUUAAUACUGCAUACGUCCCUUCGGGGAGAAAGACGGCCUCUUUGCUGUCGCUAAAGGAUAAGCUCGCGCACUAUUAGCUAGUUGGUGGGGUAAAGGCCUACCAAGGCAGAGAUGGUUAGCCGGCCUGAGAGGGUGUACGGCCACACUGGGACUGAGAUACGGCCCAGACUCCUACGGGAGGCAGCAGUGGGGGAUCUUGCACAAUGGGCGAAAGCCUGAUGCAGCGACGCCGCGUGGAGGAAGAAGGUCUUCGGAUUGUAAACUCCUGUUAAGUGGGAAGAAAUCCUUGCGAGUAAUAUGCGCGAGGGAUGACGGUACCACUAGAGAAAGCUCCGGCUAACUUCGUGCCAGCAGCCGCGGUAAUACGAAGGGAGCAAGCGUUAUUCGGAAUCACUGGGCGUAAAGGGCGUGUAGGCGGUAAAUUAAGUCAGUUGUUAAAUUCCUCAGCCUAACUGAGGCCAAGCGAUUGAAACUGAUUUGCUAGAGUACAGAAGAGAGAAGUGGAAUUAUCGGAGUAGCGGUAAAAUGCGUAGAUCUCGAUAGGAACACCGAUGGCGAAGGCAGCUUCUUGGUCUGUUACUGACGCUAAAAUGCGAAAGCGUGGGGAGCAAACAGGAUUAGAUACCCUGGUAGUCCACGCCGUAAACGAUGAUCACUGGACGUGGGUUUUGCGUUGCAAGAUCCGUGUCGUAGCUAACGCGUUAAGUGAUCCGCCUGGGAAGUACGGUCGCAAGAUUAAAACUCAAAGGAAUUGACGGGGGUCCGCAC